Molecule: transfer RNA, 67 nt
Filed under: Marmota monax (woodchuck)
Lineage: Eukaryota; Metazoa; Chordata; Mammalia; Rodentia; Sciuridae
Description: tRNA.Ala
Rfam family: tRNA
About the family: Transfer RNA (tRNA) molecules are approximately 80 nucleotides in length. Their secondary structure includes four short double-helical elements and three loops (D, anti-codon, and T loops).
Source: RNAcentral
GGUUGUGGCUCAAAGGUAGAGCGCUUGCCUAGCAUGCAUGAGGCACUGGGCUCGAUCCUCAGCACCG